GUGCUAGUUUCUGCAGCACAUAUACUAAAAUUGAAACGAUACAGAGAAGAUUAGCAUGGCCCCUGCACAAGGAAGACAUGCAAAUUCAUGAAGCAUUCCAUAUUAAA
Molecule: small nuclear RNA, 107 nt
Organism: Erinaceus europaeus (western European hedgehog)
Lineage: Eukaryota; Metazoa; Chordata; Mammalia; Eulipotyphla; Erinaceidae
Source: Ensembl